GUGAGGAAUAUUGGACAAUGGAUGGAAAUCUGAUCCAGCCAUGCCGCGUGCAGGAAGACGGCCCUAUGGGUUGUAAACUGCUUUUGUAUGGGAGCAAUAAGGGUUACGAGUAGCCUGAUGAGAGUACCAUACGAAUAAGGACCGGCUAACUCCGUGCCAGCAGCCGCGGUAAUACGGAGGGUCCGAGCGUUAUCCGGAUUUAUUGGGUUUAAAGGGUGCGUAGGCGGUUUUAUAAGUCAGCGGUGAAAUUUUCCGGCUCAACCGGGGGACUGCCGUUGAUACUGUAAGGCUAGGAUAUGGUUGCUGUGGGUGGAAUGUGUGGUGUAGCGGUGAAAUGCUUAGAGAUCACACAGAAUAUCGAUUGCGAAGGCAGCUCACAAAGCCAUCAUUGACGCUGAGGCACGAAAGUGUGGGGAUCAAACAGGAUUAGAUACCCCAGUAGUCC
RNAcentral lists this ribosomal RNA (445 nucleotides) under uncultured bacterium. RNAcentral's name for it is "partial 16S ribosomal RNA". It matches the Rfam family "Bacterial small subunit ribosomal RNA", at positions 354 to 796 of the family's 1533-position model. The record is from RNAcentral.